AGUUCGAUUAUGGCUCAGAUUGAACGGCGGAUGCUUACAUGCAAGUCGAACGGCAGCACGGACUUCGGUCUGGUGGCGAGUGGCGAACGGGUGAGUAAUGUAUCGGAACGUGCCUAGUAGCAGGGGAUAACUACGCGAAAGCGUAGCUAAUACCGCAUACGCCCUUCGGGGAAAGCGGGGGACCUUCGGGCCUCGCACUAUUAGAAACGGCCGAUAUCGGAUUAGCUAGUUUGGGGUGGGGUAACGGCUCGCCAAGGCGACAAUCCAUGCUGGUUUGAAGACUGACCAACCACACUGGGACUGGAACUUGCAGAAAGCCAGACUCCUACGGGAAGCAGCGGUGGGGAGUACGGACAAUGGGGAAACCCUGAUCCAGCCAUCCCGCGUGUGCGAUGAAGGCCUUCGGGUGGUUACCAAAGCACUUUUGGCAGAAGAAACGGCACGGAUAUGCCGUGGCGACGACCUGCAGAACAAGCACCGGCUAACUACGUGCCAGCAGCCGCGGUAAUACGUAAGGGUGCAAGCGUUAAUCAGAAUUACUGGGCGUAAAGCGUGCGCAGGCGGUUCGGAAGAAAGUCUUGAAAUCCCAGAGCUUAACUUUGGAACUGCAUUUUAACUACCGAGCUAGAGUGUGUCAGAGGGAGGUGGAAUUCCGCGUGUAGCAGUGAAAUGCGUAGAUAUGCGGAGAGACACCGAUAGCGAAGGCGGCCUCCUGGAUAGCACUGACGCUCAUGCACGAAGAAAGCGUGGGGAGCAAACAGGGUCAGUACCUGGUAGUCCACGCCCUAAACGAUGUCAACUAGCUGUGGACGCUGGGCCACAUAGUGGCUGGCUAACACGUGAAGUUGACCGCCUGGGGGAGUACGGUCGCAAGAUUAAAACUCAAGGAAUUGACGGGGACCCGCACAAGCGGUGGAUGAUGUGGAUUAAUUCGAUGCAACGCGAAAAACACCUACCCUUGACAUGUCUGGAAUCCGAAGAUUUGGUACUCGCAAAGAGAACCGGAACACGGUGCUGCAUGGCUGUCGUCAGCUCGUGUCGUGAGAUGUUGGGUUAAGUCCACAGCGAGCGCAACCCUUGUCGUGUAGUUGCUACGAAAGGGCAUCUAAUGACUGCCGAUGACAAACCGGAGGAAGGUGGGGAUGACGUCAAGUCCUCAUGGCCCUUAUGGGUAGGGCUUCACACGUCAUACAAUGGUCGGGACAGAGGUCGCCAACCCGCGAGGGGAGCCAGUCCCAGAAACCCGAUCAUGAGUCCGGGAUCGCAGUCUGCAACUCGACUGCGUGAAGUCGGGAAAUCGCUAUUAAUCGCGGAUCAACAUAUCACGGUGAUCGUUCCCGGACAUGUACCGCCAUUGUCUUCAUAGGUGUUUACAGAAUGAUUCAACUAACGUAAUAAAUAGAGGCUGAUACACAGGUAAGGGUCUGACCUGGAUGAAGUCGUAACAGUGCAACCUGAAAUACCUGAUACUCA
Molecule: ribosomal RNA, 1473 nt
Filed under: uncultured Bordetella sp.
Lineage: Bacteria; Pseudomonadati; Pseudomonadota; Betaproteobacteria; Burkholderiales; Alcaligenaceae
Description: partial 16S-23S ribosomal RNA intergenic spacer
Rfam family: Bacterial small subunit ribosomal RNA
Source: RNAcentral